GUCGGCGGGGUCCCCGGGACCAUGAGGCAGGCGGUGGAGGCUCAGGUGUUGAGCUCGCACUGUGAGCUAGGAGAACACGGCCUGCGUCAGAUCCUGACCGACGUGAUCGCGGAGGUGAGGAAGACGGUAAACCCGGACCUCGACGGCGCUGAGAUUCUCCACGGGCUCCUGAACGCCCCCUGGCUGCAAUCGCUGCUCAAGGUUUACGAGGGUCUUCAGAGGUACCUCCGAGAUUCCCCAGCCCCAGCUCUGGACUACGCUUCAGGACUUUCACUUCAGGUUACACCUCAGAUUGGGUUUCAUCAGCAAUUUGUUGCUCGCAGUUAUUUUGUAGAAGGCUUUUUAAAAAAACAUAAUGGAUAUGUGGUUUGUUGUGUAGUUGCUGAUCGACAUCAGAGCGCUGCCGGGAUGCUCUGAAGACGCCAAAGAGCUUUACCGCCUCCUGAGACAGCCGCACCUGCAGGUAACAAGUCACCAUUCAUUUCUGGGAUCACUGCGGUGCCUCUAGA
Molecule: long non-coding RNA, 509 nt
Filed under: Sander lucioperca (pikeperch)
Lineage: Eukaryota; Metazoa; Chordata; Actinopteri; Perciformes; Percidae
Description: lncRNA (ENSSLUG00000015736.1)
Source: RNAcentral